RNAcentral lists this long non-coding RNA (617 nucleotides) under Cricetulus griseus (Chinese hamster). Its description in RNAcentral is "lncRNA (ENSCGRG00015035576.1)". The record is from RNAcentral. Lineage: Eukaryota; Metazoa; Chordata; Mammalia; Rodentia; Cricetidae.
UGGGGUUCAAGCUUCAAGCUGAAGAUCAGAGAAGCAAAGCAGCUAAGCCACUAGCUCUCACCUCUACCUCAGCUCAGACCAAAGGGUCAGUCCUCAAACUGCUCCUGACUUCACUGCUCCUCAGAUUCACUCAGACUGCCAUGCUCCCCUUGUGGCUAGAGACUAAUCCUGAUACUGACUACUGAAGACCCUGCUCCUAUCUUUUAUACCUCCAUAGUGCUGGGAUUAAAGUGGCUCUUGAACUACAUUUGGAAGAGAGACACGCUGGUACCAAAGUGUGGUGGACUCACUUCCAGUUCUGCAGAUGGAGAGGACUGGAGGACUGGCACAGACUUGGCAGGUUCUUGGAAGAAAUGCCCAGGAAGAGAGUGUUCUGAGGCUCCUGUACCUUUCUGAGGAAGCUGUCUUCCCACACUGAAGUCACAAACUAGGGAGCUUUCAAACUACCUGUGUUUGCUCACCUCUCAGCAUGGGGAAGAAGCAUGAGGAAGUUUGGCACCCUGUGGUUCUCCCCACAGUAGAAACACUUACAAACCCUUACCCCUGCUCACACUUCCACCAUCAAUCUGAUGAUAUGAAACCACUUGACUUCAUUAAAGGGGAGUUAGAGAAACUGA